GAUGAACGCUAGCUACAGGCUUAACACAUGCAAGUCGAGGGGGAACGACAUCGAAAGCUUGCUUUUGAUGGGCGUCGACCGGCGCACGGGUGAGUAACGCGUAUCCAACCUGCCCACCACUUGGGGAUAACCUUGCGAAAGUAAGACUAAUACCCAAUGAUAUCUCUAGAAGACAUCUGAAAGAGAUUAAAGAUUUAUCGGUGAUGGAUGGGGAUGCGUCUGAUCAGCUUGUUGGCGGGGUAACGGCCCACCAAGGCGACGAUCAGUAGGGGUUCUGAGAGGAAGGUCCCCCACAGUGGAACUGAGCCACGGUCCAAACUCCUACGGGAGGCAGCAGUGAGGAAUAUUGGUCAAUGGGCGAGAGCCUGAACCAGCCAAGUAGCGUGCAGGAUGACGGCCCUAUGGGUUGUAAACUGCUUUUAUAAGGGAAUAAAGUGAGUCUCGUGAGACUUUUUGCAUGUACCUUAUGAAUAAGGACCGGCUAAUUCCGUGCCAGCAGCCGCCGUAA
This 508-nucleotide ribosomal RNA is filed under the name uncultured bacterium. RNAcentral describes it as "partial 16S ribosomal RNA". It matches the Rfam family "Bacterial small subunit ribosomal RNA", at positions 28 to 523 of the family's 1533-position model. The record is from RNAcentral.